This 915-nucleotide ribosomal RNA is filed under the name uncultured bacterium. RNAcentral's name for it is "bacterial SSU rRNA". It matches the Rfam family "Bacterial small subunit ribosomal RNA", at positions 67 to 992 of the family's 1533-position model. The record is from RNAcentral.
CGGUGAAGGCGGAGCUUGCUCUGCUGGAUCAGUGGCGAACGGGUGAGUAACACGUGAGCAAUCUGCCCCUGACUCUGGGAUAAGCGCUGAAAACGGCGUCUAAUACUGGAUACGAGCUGCGAAGGCAUCUUCAGCAGCUGGAAAGAAUUUCGGUCAGGGAUGAGCUCGCGGCCUAUCAGCUUGUUGGUGAGGUAAUGGCUCACCAAGGCGUCGACGGGUAGCCGGCCUGAGAGGGUGACCGGCCACACUGGGACUGAGACACGGCCCAGACUCCUACGGGAGGCAGCAGUGGGGAAUAUUGCACAAUGGGCGAAAGCCUGAUGCAGCAACGCCGCGUGAGGGAUGACGGCCUUCGGGUUGUAAACCUCUUUUAGCAGGGAAGAAGCGAAAGUGACGGUACCUGCAGAAAAAGCGCCGGCUAACUACGUGCCAGCAGCCGCGGUAAUACGUAGGGCGCAAGCGUUAUCCGGAAUUAUUGGGCGUAAAGAGCUCGUAGGCGGUUUGUCGCGUCUGCUGUGAAACCCCGAGGCUCAACCUCGGGCCUGCAGUGGGUACGGGCAGACUAGAGUGCGGUAGAGGAGAUUGGAAUUCCUGGUGUAGCGGUGGAAUGCGCAGAUAUCAGGAGGAACACCGAUGGCGAAGGCAGAUCUCUGGGCCGUAACUGACGCUGAGGAGCGAAAGGGUGGGGAGCAAACAGGCUUAGAUACCCUGGUAGUCCACCCCGUAAACGUUGGGAACUAGUUGUGGGGUCCAUUCCACGGAUUCCGUGACGCAGCUAACGCAUUAAGUUCCCCGCCUGGGGAGUACGGCCGCAAGGCUAAAACUCAAAGGAAUUGACGGGGACCCGCACAAGCGGCGGAGCAUGCGGAUUAAUUCGAUGCAACGCGAGAACCUUACCAAGGCUUGACAUACACG